ACAACGGGGGCAUGCCUCAGUACGGCGAGUGAGCGGCAAGAGCUCAAAUUUGAAAGCUGGCUCCUUCGGGGUCCGCAUUGUAAUUUGCAGAGGAUGCUUCGGGUGCGGCCCCUGUCUAAGUGCCCUGGAACGGGCCGUCAGAGAGGGUGAGAAUCCCGUCUGGGAUGGGGUGUCCGCGCCCGUGUGAAGCUCCUUCGACGAGUCGAGUUGUUUGGGAAUGCAGCUCUAAAUGGGUGGUAAAUUUCAUCUAAAGCUAAAUACUGGCCGGAGACCGAUAGCGCACAAGUAGAGUGAUCGAAAGAUGAAAAGCACUUUGAAAAGAGAGUUAAAAAGCACGUGAAAUUGUUGAAAGGGAAGCGCUUGCGACCAGACUCGCCUCCAGGGUUCAGCCGGCAUUCGUGCCGGUGUACUUCCCUGGGGGCGGGCCAGCGUCGGUUUGGGCGGCCGGUCAAAGGCUCCCGGAAUGUAGUGCCCUCCGGGGCACCUUAUAGCCGGGAGUGCAAUGCGGCCAGCCUGGACCGAGGAACGCGCUUCGGCACGGACGCUGGCAUAAUGGUCGUAAACGACCCGUCUUGAACCACGGACCAA
This 588-nucleotide ribosomal RNA is filed under the name Aspergillus oryzae. RNAcentral's name for it is "eukaryotic LSU rRNA". It matches the Rfam family "Eukaryotic large subunit ribosomal RNA", at positions 64 to 669 of the family's 3401-position model. The record is from RNAcentral. Lineage: Eukaryota; Fungi; Ascomycota; Eurotiomycetes; Eurotiales; Aspergillaceae.